GUGGGGAAUAUUGGACAAUGGGGGCAACCCUGAUCCAGCAAUGCCGCGUGUGUGAAGAAGGUUUUCGGAUUGUAAAGCACUUUCGGCGGGGACGAUGAUGACGGUACCCGCAGAAGAAGCCCCGGCUAACUUCGUGCCAGCAGCCGCGGUAAUACGAAGGGGGCUAGCGUUGCUCGGAAUGACUGGGCGUAAAGGGCGUGUAGGCGGUUUGUACAGUCAGAUGUGAAAUCCCCGGGCUUAACCUGGGAGCUGCAUUUGAGACGUGCAGACUAGAGUGUGAGAGAGGGUUGUGGAAUUCCCAGUGUAGAGGUGAAAUUCGUAGAUAUUGGGAAGAACACCGGUGGUGAAGGCGGCAACCUGGCUCAUUACUGACGCUGAGGCGCGAAAGCGUGGGGAGCAAACAGGAUUAGAUACCCUUGUAGUCC
This 425-nucleotide ribosomal RNA is filed under the name uncultured bacterium. Its description in RNAcentral is "partial 16S ribosomal RNA". It matches the Rfam family "Bacterial small subunit ribosomal RNA", at positions 354 to 796 of the family's 1533-position model. The record is from RNAcentral.